GAUGGACGCUGGCGGCGUGCCUAAUACAUGCAAGUCGAGCGAACAGACGAGGAGCUUGCUCCUCUGACGUUAGCGGCGGACGGGUGAGUAGCACGUGGAUAACCUACCUAUAAGACUGGGAUAACUUCGGGAAACCGGAGCUAAUACCGGAUAAUAUAUUGAACCGCAUGGUUCAAUAGUGAAAGACGGUUUUGCUGUCACUUAUAGAUGGAUCCGCGCCGCAUUAGCUAGUUGGUAAGGUAACGGCUUACCAAGGCAACGAUGCGUAGCCGACCUGAGAGGGUGAUCGGCCACACUGGAACUGAGACACGGUCCAGACUCCUACGGGAGGCAGCAGUAGGGAAUCUUCCGCAAUGGGCGAAAGCCUGACGGAGCAACGCCGCGUGAGUGAUGAAGGUCUUCGGAUCGUAAAACUCUGUUAUUAGGGAAGAACAAAUGUGUAAGUAACUAUGCACGUCUUGACGGUACCUAAUCAGAAAGCCACGGCUAACUACGUG
RNAcentral lists this ribosomal RNA (497 nucleotides) under uncultured bacterium. RNAcentral describes it as "partial 16S ribosomal RNA". It matches the Rfam family "Bacterial small subunit ribosomal RNA", at positions 28 to 507 of the family's 1533-position model. The record is from RNAcentral.